AACACAGUCCCCCAGACAGAUUUGGAAUACAAGCUGCAAGCUGGCUGUAUCCCUUGGUGAAUCUGCUGCUGUCCUGCUCUUUCCCUUUGCUCACAGUCAAUGAGCCUUGGCACACAGGGACAAGCUGUGGUCUCUGACUGCUUUGUUCUCUUUGACUUGAGGUGGACGUGUUGAUAUCUCACCUGGCAGCCUGCGAAGGCUUCCAGCAAAUGCCGGCUGAUGAAGAGCCCCAAGGUCGGCGGCAGGCACAGGUACUGUCCCAAGCACAAGUGCUGCAAACUGAGCACCUUCUGAAGAUGGUGCAGGAAAAGAGGACUGAGGGGGAGGAGCUCCAACAUUAGAACAAGGAGCUGCAAAUGUGUCUGCAGCCCUUGGAGGGGGAAAGGGAUCCUUGGGAGGAAGUGCAAUGGUCAUUGUUGCAGUCAUCCUUCAGAAAAUCCAGGAAAAUGGAAUAUGAAACUGGCCAUCAACUUGAUUAAAACCAACCUUGGGUUUUGACCAUUUGGUUCCAGAAGUGGGCAUCCAAAAAAUCCAGUUGAUGAGCUUUGCAUGUGGCUAACAGCAACUUCCUAAGGGCUUGCAUUUGAAAAGGGAACUCGGGGUAAUCUCUGCCAGCCAGCUUUCUGACACAAACUCCUUUCUUCUCGCAGAUCUACACAGGCUCUUCCAUUCAAUCUGCUGCAGCAGCAGCAGCAGCAGCAUCUAAAGGAGCCUUUGUUCCCCAAGCUGAGCAGUGGAUCCUGGGCAGUUUGUCCAUUUCCAGCAGUGACACAUCUGCUGCUCAGCUCCAGGAGAGCCAGGGAGACUUCGUGGAGCAACUGAGGAGAAUGGUGAACAAGGAAAAUCCCAUCACAAAAUACAUCGAACUGGAAAGUCUUGGCAGCGGGGGUUUUGGAGAGGUUUCCAGAGCACUUGACAUUGCAACAGGAGGAGAGGUGGCCAUCAAGAAAAUAAAUGUGCAAGGAGUGAGUAGGAAGAUACUAACCAUGAAUGAAAUCAGGAUCAUGGAGAGUAAUAGGAGUCCCAGGAUCGUGAAUUACUUAGCCAGGUGAGUGGUCACGGUCCUAUCCCUUGAAUGUUUCUUUACAUACUACAAGCAUGAGAGCUUAAAAACCCACUUUGGUCUGUGGCAGGAAAUAGAGCUGUUAAUGAUUAUUUCUCUACUUAUCUCCAAUGGAUGGGAAGAGACUGCAUUUUGUCUGCAUGAAUCCACCCUGGCAAAUGCAGACUGAAAAUUGUUCAAAAACCUGCAUCAGCCCUAUCUUAAGAAUUCAAUACCUUCUAACUUCAUUGCCUCCACAGUUCUUUGGGACUCAGUUUUUCAAGUUUCUUAAAUGCUGAUGAACCAUCCAAGAGAGGAUUG
RNAcentral lists this long non-coding RNA (1363 nucleotides) under Cyanistes caeruleus (blue tit). Its description in RNAcentral is "lncRNA (ENSCCEG00000018641.1)". The record is from RNAcentral. Lineage: Eukaryota; Metazoa; Chordata; Aves; Passeriformes; Paridae.